AACGAACGCUGGCGGCAGGCUUAACACAUGCAAGUCGAACGCACCUUUCGGGGUGAGUGGCAGACGGGUGAGUAACGCGUGGGAAUCUACCCUUCUCUACGGGAUAGCUCCGGGAAACUGGAAUUAAUACCGUAUACGUCCUGAGGGAGAAAGAUUUAUCGGGGAAGGAUGAGCCCGCGUUGGAUUAGCUAGUUGGUGGGGUAAAGGCCUACCAAGGUGACGAUCCAUAGCUGGUCUAAGAGGAUGAUCAGCCACAUUGGGACUGAGACACGGCCCAAACUCCUACGGGAGGCAGCAGUGGGGAAUAUUGGACAAUGGGCGCAAGCCUGAUCCAGCCAUGCCGCGUGAGUGAUGAAGGCCCUAGGGUUGUAAAGCUCUUUCAGUGGGGACGAUAAUGACGGUACCCACAGAAGAAGCCCCGGCUAACUUCGUG
Molecule: ribosomal RNA, 433 nt
Filed under: uncultured bacterium
Lineage: Bacteria
Description: partial 16S ribosomal RNA
Rfam family: Bacterial small subunit ribosomal RNA
Source: RNAcentral